This 250-nucleotide unclassified non-coding RNA is filed under the name Hevea brasiliensis (rubber tree). The record is from RNAcentral. Lineage: Eukaryota; Viridiplantae; Streptophyta; Magnoliopsida; Malpighiales; Euphorbiaceae.
GGAGUUCUCACUUUGGUUGGCUUUCUUUAUCCUUCUCAAUGGAAUCAAGACCUUAUAGGGGCUUCUUGCUAAGUCUCCUGUAGAGGAAGUGAAUGUAAGGGACCGGUCACUGUGGAAUGCGAUUUUUUCUGUCGAAAUGAAGAGAAGCCCUGCGAUUGGGCCGGAAGUGGUGGAAAGGUAACACUGGAAGGCUUUCAACAACUUCUCUCCUUUUGUGACCAAGAAGCUUCGUCUGAAGACUUUCUCAAUU